This 476-nucleotide ribosomal RNA is filed under the name uncultured bacterium. RNAcentral's name for it is "bacterial SSU rRNA". It matches the Rfam family "Bacterial small subunit ribosomal RNA", at positions 35 to 518 of the family's 1533-position model. The record is from RNAcentral.
GGACGAACGGCUGGCGGCGUGCCUAACACAUGCAAGUCGAGCGAGGAGAUUCCUUCGGGAUGAUCCUAGCGGCGGACGGGUGAGUAACACGUGGGCAACCUGCCUCAUAGAGAGGAAUAGCCUUCCGAAAGGGAGAUUAAUACCUCAUAACAUUGCAGUUUCGCAUGGAACAGCAAUUAAAGGAGUAAUCCGCUAUGAGAUGGGCCCGCGGCGCAUUAGCUAGUUGGUGAGGUAACGGCUCACCAAGGCGACGAUGCGUAGCCGACCUGAGAGGGUGAUCGGCCACAUUGGGACUGAGACACGGCCCAGACUCCUACGGGAGGCAGCAGUGGGGAAUAUUGCACAAUGGGGGAAACCCUGAUGCCAGCAACGCCGCGUGAGUGAUGACGGCCUUCGGGUUGUAAAGCUCUGUCUUCAGGGACGAUAAUGACGGUACCUGAGGAGGAAGCCACGGCUAACUACGUGCCAGCCGCCGC